Melanaphis sacchari is the source of this 437-nucleotide long non-coding RNA. RefSeq lists it as uncharacterized. The transcript is spliced from 4 exons. The record is from RefSeq and is a predicted model, not a curated record. Lineage: Eukaryota; Metazoa; Arthropoda; Insecta; Hemiptera; Aphididae.
ACUAAAAAUCCAAUAUAAUUUUAAUUUAGCCUGAAAAAUGUAUAAAUUCCAGACAAAAUUUGUGGUGUGCACUAAGUUAUGCGUAAAAAAGAAAUUUUCAUAUUUUUAACGCCACUGUUAUCAAGUUUAUGCCUCCCAAACAUAAAUAUUAGCCAUUGAUCGUUUGAAAAUCGGAUUCCCGAAGCCUCCCAGUCUAUCAGUAAAUUGUCGCCACCAUCAAAGUAUGAUUUACAAUCGAUUUAUUAUCAAAACAUCAGAUCACGUUUAUGCAUAGAGCGGUGUGCAACAAGUCCUAUUGCAGUAGUAGUUAAAUACUAACCACUAUUCACUAGAUAUUUUCAGAUCAAAUUACAAAAAUAUCUGUUGUUAGACAGUUUAAGUGUACUUCAUAGUAAACUAGUGAUCAAUAUUUUAACUGAACAAUAUGGAACAUUUAA